This 251-nucleotide ribosomal RNA is filed under the name uncultured prokaryote. RNAcentral describes it as "partial 16S rRNA". It matches the Rfam family "Bacterial small subunit ribosomal RNA", at positions 525 to 775 of the family's 1533-position model. The record is from RNAcentral.
ACGUAGGGUCCAAGCGUUAAUCGGAAUUACUGGGCGUAAAGCGUGCGCAGGCGGUUCUGCAAGACCCGUGUGAAAUUCCCGGGCUUAACGCUGGGAUUGCAUUGGAGACUGCCCGGCUUGAGGGCGGCAGAGGGGGGUAGAAUUCCCCGUGUAGUGGUGAAAUGCGUAGAGAUGUGGAGGAAUACCGAUGGCGAAGGCAGCUCCCUGGAAUAACACUGACGCUCAGGCACGAAAGCGUGGGGAGCAAACAG